This is a long non-coding RNA of Columba livia (rock pigeon), 13208 nucleotides long. RefSeq lists it as uncharacterized. The record is from RefSeq and is a predicted model, not a curated record. The transcript is spliced from 2 exons. NCBI's taxonomy places the organism in Eukaryota, Metazoa, Chordata, Aves, Columbiformes, Columbidae.
GGGCGGAGCCCCCGGCCGUCCCCAGCCCCCCUCGCUGGCCGCCGGCAGGGCCGCCGCUGCCCUGCCCCUUUCCCGCCGUAUUUACACCGGCCGCCUCCAUCUUGGUAGCGGUGUUAGCCCCCGCGGGACAGCGCCGGCCCGGCCUUCGCCCCAGCGGGAGCGGCCCGGCCCUACCGAGCCCUUAAGCGCCCCGGGCCGCUCUGCCAGGAAGGACCCCGCGUCCUGCGGUGUGGAAGCGACUUGAAUGCUGCAAGCCAGGAUAUACAACAUCCAGCAACCUACAACUUGCUAAAUUGCUGAAAGAGGCACGAGGCUAAUAUCCUACCCCUACUAUGGACUAGGAAGCUACUUUUGAACAGGUGGGAAGCUCCUUUAGGUAAGGAUUCACGUUUCACAGCUGAAGAUGAAUGAUUUUUUUUCAUGUCCAACCACACCACUUCCUUAUCACAGCAUGGUCUACAGCCUCCUUGUCUGGCCAGUCCUCUGGAAUGAGGGAAAUGUUGACACCAAACCCCUGAUGGCGUAGGAGGACACCCUAAUCUUCCAUCUCCUGGGAGAGUACUUUAAACACGAGGAGAUUAAAUAAGGAACAAACAUCAUUACCGCCUGCCUCGCUGGCUAUAUUUUUAAAUGUAAGCACCCAAGGCUGCUGUGUGUCAUGUUGAUUCACUCCCGUUAGCAUGCUCAAAGCACAGCUCUCAAGUGGUCUCGGGGAAGACGAACUGGGGAAUACACCACUUCCCUUUUAGGCAACAUUUCUAGGCACUCAGCCCUGGCAGGCUGGAAGCACACACACAGCUUUCCCAGCACUUAGGAAACUUCACCCAUGAACAUUUAUUUGUCUAAAAAUUUAGGUGGGAGUUUGCUCUUUUUUUCUUUUUUUUUUUUUUUCCCCUUUUAGAUCUGCAUUUUCAGUCAACCCAGCUGUAGACAGGUAGCUUCUAUGGAACAUGGUGGGCAUUAGCACAAGGUUCAUUGUACUCAGUCCUUAGAAACAUUAAAGAAAGACUGGACCAUGGCAAGACUUGAUAACAGAUUUUUUUCCCCAAGGGAAAAAAAAUUACAAAGAGGAUAAAGAAGACUUUUAUGAUUUUAAUAGGAUCUUGUAUGAUUUUUAUAGCAUGAAGUUUUCAUGCCUUCAGCCCAGAGGUUUUUAAAAAUUAAUACUUCUCGGUUUGGAUCACACAAACUACUGAGUAGUAGGUGUAGUAGUAUCUUUAAAAUGAACUUCAUGCUGGCUUAUUUCGUUUUGUCUGAGAGAUUUUCUCUCUCUUAUAUCCAGUUAUGGGACCACGUGUCCUUCAUUUUCUCGAAUAUGCAUUAGUUUGUUUGGUAUCUUGUUACUGUCUGUAAGAAAUUAUAUGUAAAAAUUCAAGUAGAUGUGAAACAUUAUUGACAUAUGUGCAUGGCUAGGCCCAUGCCAUCUUGUAUUUUUUACCUGUAUGUAGAAAACAAUUAUUUGUAAAAUAUUUUUUGGCAGAAGAUAAUGUAUUCUCCAUGUUAUUCAGUGACCCACGGCAUCUGACCACAUUUACUGACUGCAACAAUAGCAGUUUUGUAAAUCAGAAGGCAUCUGAGAAAACAAAAAUUAAUUUGGUUUCUUUUCUUGCCAUGGUUUUAACCAACAAGCCUUCUUCACUUAAAUUUUGCAGAAGAAUGUUGAGAGUUGCAGACCAUUUCACCUGCAAUAUUUGACAUGUUUCAUCUGAGCACAGUUUUCAUUUGGGUGAUGAAAAAAGUUAACAUUUUAAUAAAUAAUGCUGGGGAGGUUACCUACCAGAAAGAAAGAAAAAUAAAGUUUUCAAUCAAUAUAAAAUUGGACUUAAAGACCUUCUUACUGCUAUUAACACAGAGAAGCACUGAGGCUAGUGUGUGGCUGUUGUCAUUGGGCACUCUAGGCACAGCUGUAGUACAACCUCCAAAUGAAUAUGCGGCUAUACUCUCUGUGUGUUCACAUGAAGGAUAAUAUUGGGCUCCAAGAGUAUGGCUGGCACCGCAAAAUCUGUCACUUUAAAUUCUAACGAGACUUCCAGUCCCGCUUGUGCUGAUACAACCAACUGAAAGCAAAGUCAUUUAAUACGUGCAACAUUUAAAGCUGAUCUCGUCAACAGACUUCACUAUGACUCUUCCUCAUCACGUUUGGUGUAUAAAAGUGAAACCCACCUAAUUGUAAAGUCAGCUUAGUGACCUUCAACACUACAGGAUCAAGCACAGCAGACGCAAAGCCUUUAAAUGUUAAAACAUGGACAGCUGGGGUGAAACUUAAGACUUAAAGUGUGACACAUUAGAUAAAUGGGAGCCUGAUGAGAUGAGGUGGAGUCAUAAAUUGUGUUAGUCACAGUGUUUGACAAAUGAUCUCCAGUGGCACUUGCUUCUCGGUGGGGACUUUCAUUAAUGAUCUUUAGUAUUGCAUUGGUAAAACUUUAUUCAGCUUGUUACACUGUUACACAUCUGGCACAUGUUACCAAGGAAAACCAUUCUUGGGGAAAGCUUUGGUGGCAGAAACUCAACAUUUGUGCAGAAAUGAGAGGAGUGAUACACUAGCUAGGACUUCGCUGCACAGUUAAAAUGAGGGUUAAUUUGCAGAAGGGGAGGGUGAGUCUACAACUUAAAAUGGAGACAGGACUGAGGUGGUGACAUUGGAUACUGCUUUUGGAGAACCUGGAUGCAGCAGUCUCAUCAGAAACAUCGUGUACCAAUCGACAACAAGAGCCACUCUGAACAACAGUUCAUCUGUGUUUUAUGGAGGCAUGCUACACAUGCAUAUACUUUGCAAUUUAAAACAAGCUGAACAUAAUAUUCCAGAGAAUCAAUGAAGCGAGAAAACUUCCGAAGGCAAAAGCCUAAAUGAAGUAUUUGUUAUAAAAAUGGACAAAAUGAAGACCAGGAAAUAAUUCAUCACAUGAACAGGAUGGGGACUGAUUAUUUAACCACAAAGGCCGAGAUGGAUAAGAACGUUUUUCAACAGUAGCUUGUCAGCAUUACAGGUAGGUGAAGUCUCAUACAUUUAGUUUAGUGAUCCAUCUAGAAAAUGAAGCCAGAGCUAUUAACUCUGAGGGCUCACUAUUUUUGUUAACCAAGGCUGGGACACAGUACAGUUGAACAGUAUUAAGGAAUAGCAAAAUGUUAACUGUAGAAGGACAUAAUAGCAAGAAGGAACUGUGGGGAAAAAAAGCCACAGUAUGAGGGCAACCAGCACUCUGCACCAGCUUAGGUGACUGGCAUGGACGUUCUGCAGCAUGCAGCCUGGGAGGUGGACAUGUCACAGUGUCUCCACCACUCUCUGAGCCUUUGCAAACACACGCCUUCAAAGCCUGUCAAAGAGAAGUCAUGAUGCUGUACUGGAAAUAUGAGUUCUGUGCACACAGUGACAGAGCAAGACAAACAGGGCAAGAGACUCAGAAUUCUCCAUGCCACCACAUGUACAUUUGUAAUAAGGUAAGAAUUCAGGUAAAUACAUCUCAUAUGGUAUGAUAGGGUGUUUGUUGUUUCUUUGUUUCAGAUAUAUGACAAACUGGUUUCUAUUCUAGGGGACUCUUCUCCAGAGAGAAGACCCGUGGAUCAAUCUUAUACACAAGCAUUUUUGUAUGAGGUUCUGUGAUUCAAAAGAUGUAUCUAUUAGUUCGUGCCAUGACGAGAGUUUGGAUCUUCACUAGAGGAAUUCAGUGGAAGGAAAACUUUGCAUCUAGGGAUCAUACUUAAAGACCAGGUUGUACAGACUGUAGAGUCAAUUUUGCUACAAGCAGUCAUGGAUUUGAGGACUCAUCUGGAAAGGUCCUGCAUGAAGGCAGCUAUUUCCUCAGAAAUCAAUGUCGCUUAAUCUGAUCCAUCAGAAUUUUCUUCUUUUUAGAGUCACCUAAAAUUAAUUCAUGAAUGAUAUCGCUCUGUUGACAGGCACGUACCUGAGACUUUCACAGAUGACCAGGAGAAUUACUGAAGGCCAACUGAGGCUCUGCGCAACAGAGCCUGCAGGGUAAUAGUCUGCCUUUGACAAGAGUUAGUACUCAUAUCCUUCCCAGCUGUUUUCAGUUGCAGUGUCUUAAGUGUCUUCCCUUUUCUAGCCCUUCCAGCCAGACAUCCUCAUGACAAAGCAGGAAAAGACAAACUAAGGAAGUAGAUGGUAUCAACUUGGCUAUAAUUACUGUUUAGGAAGUUGCAAUACCUUCUGCUUCUAACACAGCUAUUACUGCAACAGCAUCAACACAUCAGAUACCCCUCAUGUGGACUUUAAGGAAGCUUUCAAAAUGCAGGCAGUUAGAAGCCAGCUCAUUGCACCAACUAGGUAAGGGAGCUUCGAACUUGCAACCUAUAGACUUGUAUCCUCCUCCCCUUCUACAAGGCAGCUGCACCCUCGACCACAGUGCUGUGACUUCAGUCGAGCUCCCUGGCGAGACUGCGUGAAGAAGAUGCAUCAUGGCCCAGGAGCAGACAGCAGACAGCAACUGCUGUGGCUGGAACAGCCCUGUUUCUUCUGGGUGUGCAGUGAAGCACUGCAGCCCAGUACCACAAGACCAGUGCUACAAAUCAGGAAACACAGAAAAUAUUGUAAUUGGGAGAAAACCAUAAGUAUUGGAUUUGUCUCUAGUACAAAACUUACUGGUUGAAUCUGAGUUUAAAGUGAGAAAUUAGCAAACGCUAGCUAUAAACCAGCUUUGGUAACAUCUGAGCCACCUAACUUUGGAUUUCUUACUUUGCUGUAAGGAAAGCUGCAGCAGAACUGCUGUCAUGUUGCAACAUAUGGAGUUCAUACUGGCAGUAAUUCUACCUUCUCCUGUAAUAGCACUUCACUGUUUUGACACUGAAUAGUAGAAAGAAUACAGUGACUAGUAAAAAAUGAGAGAACCACUCCCAACAUUAAAGAAUUCAUUUUACUAGGAUAGAUUAACUUGUAAUUGAGUACUCGGGCUAUUCCAGGAUGGUGAAAAUAGUUUGUCUGAAAAGACUUUUCUAAAUGUGUGCAUACAUUAUGUUGCCAUUUAGGUGGCGCCACUCCUUGCAUAAAAUUUAUUUUGCAUAAUUACAGACAGAUUUACAAAAUACUUAGUUGUAACCUUCCGUACUUGCGUGCCACAUAUUUUUUCUCUUGGUUGAGAAUGUAAUAGCCUUCUGCUGUAGAUAUUUAAAUGGGGUUAAGGAUUGAUUUCUGCAAUCCCAUAGAAAAAAGUCUUUGGCUGCUCAUAUGACAGAAAUGACCGGUGGUUUAAGCCACUACUUUUCUUUUGCUUCUAGGCCCUCCACAAUUCAUUACCACUUGUUUUCCAAGGGAAAACAUCUCUUCAGAAAAGCAGCUGGCUGGGGCUGCGUGUACAUGCCUCAGAUGCAGAGUCCAGCAGUUUUCAUUAAAGUGCUGACAAAAGCUGGUUUGUGCUAAGACAGCAGACUUUGCGCUGAGACAUGUGCAGGUGCUCCAUCCUGCCAGGCCAGCCGUGGCAGGGGUGGCACAGACAGCUGGAAGGGCUCUGCCUGGAACAACCUCACUGCCAUUUGCCAGGCUGCCUCUGUCCUUGUCCCUGGAUGGAAAGUGUGGGUAAACUGCUUUGUUCAAGGAAUAAUUGCAAGUGUUAUGCAUAAUGGGGUACUUGUGCGAUGGAUGGAGUAAACCUGUGACAUCUCCCAUUUCCAAGCAGAAUAAUUCAGUGGGAAAAUUCUGGUUCAUUGUGUUCAGAGCAUUUAGUUCACACCACCUUCAGGUCUGGUGGCCUUCUGCUAAAUCCAAGGUAGAGGCGAAACCUUUCCGUGGUUACUGCAGACAGCUGGGAGCAAAAGAAGGUCUCCGAGUUUUGUGGUUCUGUGUCAGAGCCACCAGUCUUGUGGGCUUCAAGGGAAGCCAUGGUAAGUUUGCUAGCUCAUAUGGGGCAUUAGGAAGAGAGAUAAGCUCAGAGAGAGCACAUCAGAUGUGGUAAGUGUAGGGUGAUUAAUAGGACGAGAGACGUAAUAAGGAAGGAAAAUGAUGAUCUAACAUACUGCACAUCAUUUUUAGGAUUCAGCAAGACUUCUGUGUUCAGAUUCAUAUUUCAUAAGAAUUUGUUUCUCCCUUUUCAUUAGAUGCCAAAAAUCUUUAUGUUUUGUUCCCCAUUUCUUUUUUCCCUCUGCAUUGUUUCUUCCCAUUUUCUGAGUAUUUGUAAAACUCAGUUUCACAAAAGCUCAUUUUUCACAUGUAGCAGGUUGUAAAAUAUAGGAGCCAAUUGUUGCUCACUUUCACAGAUGUAAAGAUAAAUCUAAAAUUGAAGUUAAAAUGUUGAAUGGCUGAGAUUUUUUCAGAUACAGACAAAUCUCAUUAUAAAACUAUAAAGAAUUGUCCUGCUGCCCUUCCUAGAUACAUAGCUUAAUACUGGAUGUAUUUAGUUUUCAGAGUGCCUCUCCCACAGACAAAAGCCAAGAUGAAGUAGGAAUAUUCAGUUGCUAUAUAAUGGCAGAAUAUUUAUAAAAAACAAAGCUACAUUCAGCAAAGUAUUGUUCAUUUAGAUGGAUGAAUUGAGCAAUGUAAUUAAUUCUAAAUUUAAUGUGAACUUCUACGUGUAUGAUUAAGAACCCAUAGAGAUAAUUAGAUUUUUAACUUGACUGUGCAGAGUUUGCAACCUGAUUGUUUUGGUAGACAUCACAGGCCUGGUUCUACUAGUCUGCUAGCUGUACAGCUCCUUGGCUCACAACAGCUUUGCAUGGCGUAGAAGGGAGGUGAUAUCUGCAUUCCUUUAUAUGACUAAGUUACUUUGUCAUGAACCUAGUAUAUACAAAUUAAGAUGAAGGACAGGAUUCUUCAUUCCACCCACAAGAAGGAGUAACUCAUUUGAACAGAGAAAUAUUUCAGACGUAGCUUGAAGGUCAUUUUGAACUAGCACAGACACGUUCAUUUGGUGACAAACACUCCCUUAAGGUCUACACUCUCCUACGUGGUCUCCUACGUAGAAUUCUAGCUAAUUAAUUUGGCAGACUAGGUUUCUUCUUCAGCUUACAAAGUGCAGCAAAAUGCACGGAUGUGACACAAAAAAUCUGCUUCUACAGGGAACAGAUCAAAAUCCCCAGAGGAAAAAGAAAUACAGCCACUAGAUGGUUGUUAUAUUUGGUGGUUGUUAUAUUCAGCAGUUGGUAUAUUCAAAACAUGAUGCAUUGCACAGCAACUAUUUGCACAGUGCAACUAGUCCUUUUUACUUCAUGUUUCAGUUUCCCACACAGAAAGAAGAGCUAACGAAUGGGCUCUGCUUCCUUGACAAUUUGUCACCGUCGAUACUUUUUCCACUUACAAAGAUGUUCAUUAAAAUAAUACAAUUUCCCAGCUUUAUUCUGCCGUCACUGUCCAACUCCCAGUGAGAUCUACAGCAUGGCAGUCUGUGGUGAAAUGAGAGACGCAGUAACAGCUCAUCUGACACGUUCUUUUUGUUUCAAAGGUAAUACCCAAUUUAAAAUACACAGAGGUCAACCUGAACUCACAAGCUGUCCACAGCCAGUAAAUGAACAGCAACCUACACUGCAGGUAAUUGAGAGUCUUAGGCUUUGAAAAAGCAGAAUUAGUCUGAGACCAUUAAUAUCUAUAGCUUGGGAAAAUAUCUCCAGCCAGCUUUCGCAGAAGGGCAUGACUGGCUUCAGUGCUGAGGCACCUUCCUGAGGAACAAGUGGAACAGGGUUUCCACACUAGGUUCAAGUCAUCCCCACUACAGUAAACAGGUGGGUUGGGAGAGUUUAAUCUGAUUGCAUUUGUGAGUUGACAUUCAGGAAUUUUCUCUCUCUUUAGAACUAUCAAUCAAAAGUAUUUGCAGAUUUAGGAAACUGUCACUAAACAGGCCUGGCCAGGAACUGGGUUUUCCAUUUCACAGGAAACUUCAUGCUGCCAUUUUUUUCCCAUUUCAACCUAAUAAAUUCUAUUUUUCUGUAGUUGCAAUAAGUUUUAUAUAGAGUUCACAUUUCUCUGAAUUGUUUUUUGGUUCUUUGAUUUUUUUUUUUUUUUUUUCUAAAAAUGGCCAAAAUGUUCUUUCCUGGACUCUUUUUUAGUGCUUUAUCAGUUUUCCUUUUCCUCUGACUUACAUCAACUUGGAGUAUUUUUCAAAGCAUUUAAUUUUUGACAGAAAUAACACUGCAUUAACAAAAAGAAUCCCUGAACAAGCUACACUAAAGAUCUCAUCUACUAUAUUUGGCAUACACCUUUCUAUUUCUUUCCCUACUUUUACAGUUCCUAGACAGCCCUAUGUUCACCCAGAAGAGAAGCAUAAACAUGAUGGCAGUCAUUCUGUAAGACCUUAGUUCAAGAAGCUUUUAAUGGCUUUAGUGGUUAUUUCUUUAAAAAUAUUCUUGCUAAUAUUGCUCUAGUAUCUAUUUAUAUCCUAAUGAAAAAUUCCGGGGGAAAAAAAAAAGCUCAGCUUUGCUCAAAUAAAUGUUAAAAUCCGUAACAAUUUAGAGAGCCACUGCAGAGUAGUGAACCACUGAAAGGAAUCACUAUGUGAAGAAGCCCCUUCUUCCCUUCCCUUCCCUUCCCUUCCCUUCCCUUCCCUUCCCUUCCCUUCCCUUCCCUUCCCUUCCCUUCCCUUCCCUUCCCUUCCCUUCCCUUCCCUUCCCUUCCCUUCCCUUCCCUUCCCUUCCCUUCCCUUCCCUUCCCUUCCCUUCCCUUCCCUUCCCUUCCCUUCCCUUCCCUUCCCUUCCCUUCCCUUCCCUUCCCUUCCCUUCCCUUCCCUUCCCUUCCCGUCUUUUCUCCAUGAGAGGAUAUUUUUUAAAGCUCUCAUUACAAAAUAGAAAUAUUGAAGGUCUUUUGCAUGUACUAAGCCAAAUGUACCGUAAGAGCCCCUCUCGGAUACAGGCACAGCUCUGAUUAGCACUGUAAACUUCAAACCCUUUUUACAUCAGCCUGUACUUCAGCGCAUUAGGUUCCUCACUCUGGGGGGAGGAUGGCAGUCAAGUUCUUGAUGCAGCAAAUUUCUUAGUAGAUAAACUAAAUUCAUGAGAUGAGCCAAACCAAGGAGCUCUAAAACAAUCACCAAUGUGCACAUAGUCACUGUUUCUUAAAAGGACUAAUUGUUUGACUUGUGAUUGUAUUCUGCCUUGAAGAGUGGUGGAUCAUUUUUUGACUUAAUCUAGGGACUAAACUUUCAGAAUACACUGAAAAUAUCUCAGUUUACCAGGCUCAGUUUAAAAAAAAAGGUGCAUACACAGCAUUUAUGUAGUGUUUUGACAGACUUUAUUUUCUGCUUAAGUGAUUCAGUUUUCCCUGGAUACGUAUGGCCCUCUCUUUGUUAUGCAGAACUGUAAUUGCACAGAAAGAGGAUGAGGUCAUCAACUAAGUUACAAUACAUCCACUUAACAUUUCAAAUAUCUUUAAAUAAACGAAAUGUUCUGUAACUAAAAUCAGAUUCUCACCUACUUGAAACAUUAGGCUGCUAGGCUAAAUGAGAAAAAAAAAAUAAACACAUAGUACCUGUUAAUAAAAAGAAACACUGAUAACAGCAUACAAAAUAGCGUUAUACUCAAAAAGAGCCAGUAGCCUUCGGACUUUUGUACCCCCCAAAGUUUCAGAUUCGGGGAAGUUUUUUAUGUCUUAAUUGCUGUAGGAAAGCUGAGCGAUUUUCUUGGAUGAGAAGGAUUAAUACUGAAGAAUCUGUCAACAAAUUUAAAGAUCCAGAUACUUCGAGCCUUCUGCCUGAGUAAAAGUUUAGUACUAACUAAAUAAGAGGAUGUAGCAGUGCAGUGCAAAAGGGGACAGCAAGUUAUGGGACUUCUUAGCAGAAACUGUCUGGCACAAAGAUGCAGGAGGUCAGUGCCCACGUAGAGGAUUUUCUAAAGUGGAUCAGUCAGUGCAUACAUUGUCUUUGAAGUCUGCUGAUGACCUCUCUGAAGUCUAGCUUUGUGUAGAUCCAAAACUGUGAAGCCAGAAAGACAAUGCAGAUAUGGGUGAAGGUGUGCCCACAACUUCAAAGGCCUGAGCAACUCUAGUCUCAGAGGUACAACUGAACAGGCUCCUCAUGGCCAGCCCUUGAGACAGAUGUGGGGACGGCAGCUGGCAGGUCAGGGGGUCUCUGGUACUUGCACAUGUUCCUGAAAACACUCUUGAAGUGCAAAGGCACAGUCGGUGCUGUCUGAAUGCAGAUGUUAUCACCCACAGCUGACAACCACAAGUGGAACAAAACAUUACUCAGAACUUAACGUCAUAUAUUAGUAAUUUGCCUGGUAUAAGCAUGAGCAAGAAGACCUUGCCCCAAAAUGUCAGAUACAUCAUCAUCUACAAUAUUUUUUAAAAACAAAAGCCAGGUAUGACAGAGAACCUGUAAAGGAAGGGAAAGGAUGGACUGAUAUUCCUAAGAAUAAGUGGCUGAACUGAUAGACUGCAGGUCCAGGUACUGGGCACACAAGAUGGUCCUAACUCACCACCUUUUCUGCAGCAGUUCUGGAGGAGACAAGUCAUGAUAGCUGGUGAAAACUGGUACUCUGCAUCCGUGCAUGGCACCCUGCCAGGACCUGGCAGCCAGUCUCCUUCACUGAAGAAUUGAGACCAUCAAUGCAAGUCCACCCCUCACAUACUGCCAAGGGUAUCUAAGACAGUGUAAAAUAACAGUGUAUUUAUGUUGUUGUUUUUAUUCUGUAAUAUUAUGUAUAAUCCAAGUAGCUGAUGAUGCUAUUUUCCUGGCAGCAGAACAAGGAGCUAUUGUAAUUAGAAGCAGAUAGACAAUUUUCAUAUGAAACGUACAGUAUAUGUUACAGCUUUCUGAAACACUAUGGCAAGAUUCAAGGUUAUAACAGAAGAAUGUGGAGAAAGCCCAUACAGAUGAAAUAAGGAAGAAAAGAACUGGACACGCUGAUAAUUUCUUCAUCUUUCUCAUAGGUAAAGUCAGCCAACGACACUUGCUAGUCCUGCAUAUCACCCUCUGAAGCUGGUGGUGAUGUUGCAGCUCAGAGCCACUGCAGGACAAGAUUUGGGAACACCCAGGUCCAAUCCUGCCACCUGUAUUAGCUCCCCUGUGAUCAAAGGGCAAGGCAAGGCUGGGCCUUCACUGCCUGUAUAACAACAACUUUUAAAAUUAAAACUUUACAAAAUAAAAAAAGUAGUCACCUGAAAAACAAAUACUUUCUUGCUGAAAUAUGGCAUAUAGAGAAAUAAAUGGAAUAUAUUUAUUUCUCAGCAGUCAGACACAGCAGAUACAUCAUAUCUCUCUUCUAAUUUUCUCUUCUCUGCUCUCCCUCUCCCAGAAUGCAUUUUCAAAAUUAGUAAGGGAGAGAGGGCAGACAACAUCAGUUGACAGGUUCCUCUGUAACCAUGGUGUUAACAUUGAGAAAGACAAGUAUUUAUCUUCAUAAACUUUUUGUUCAAAGAUAUAGCUUAGCGUAGAAUAAUAUAUCAAAUGCAAAAGUUUUGAAUUUUUUUAUAAAUGCAUUCCCCUUGUUUUUUUAAUUGUGGAGUUACAUCGAUGUUUCUUAGGAAGGGUGUAUAUAACUCAUGCACCAGAAGUGAUAUCUAGGCAGCUAGACUUUGCUACAGAGUGACAAGAUACAGAGACUUUCUGCAGGACGCCAAGUGUUUUUAGUUCAGAGCAGAAAGCCCUUUACUAGGAACUGUGAGAGAUGAGCUAUCUAGCUUGCAGCACUGAAACCAGGUGCCUGGAACUGUUUGGAGUUAGUACCUGCCUUCAGGAUGAAAAGAGAUAUUGCAGGUGCUGGCUUCAUACAAUUCACUCUGGGCAAUUCAUCCCCAGAUAGUUCAGGUUCAUCUUUAAAGCAGUGAACAGACUAGUAAUUUAUGUCCCAAAUGCUGACUGUUUUCAGCAACAUGACAUCGUAGCCAUUCAAUAUUUAUGGAAAGAAAAAGAAAAUAAAAAUCUUGAAACCUAGCAUUCUAACUCCUAAACAUCUUCUUGUAUGAUCAGUAUUAUAAUUAACAACCUGGAAAUCCAAAUUCCCGCUGUGCACAAAAGACCCCCAACCAAGCAAGAUUAUGAUCUGGGCUGUUAACACCAGGUAGCCUCUCUGCGAGAAUCCCUUCUCCCCGUGCUGGGCUACAUGCUACCCUUGGUCACACAGCACCAAUCCCAGAAGUGUCCACACGUUCUGUACUUGCAGACGACACUGAAUGCAGCUCCUGCUAGAGCCCCGUGGGCAGGCAGCUCUCGCCAGAGACUUACCAGCACAUUGCCAAGGACUGGUGCUGGUGGAUGCCGCUCGACACGUCACAGCUGGGGGGUUAUAGUUACCACAAGCAGCGCUGACAGGUCAAAGGCUGGGGAGUAGGUCAGAGACCUAAACCAACAUCUUCAGCAAACAGAAUACUUCCAAAAACACAUAAAAUAAACCAAAGAUUAAUUUCCCAGUAAAUUUGAUUUUCUAAAAGAAAUUUAUCCACUACCAUCAUGCACUUACAGAAAAAAAUACUGCAGAUAUUUCAAAUUGCCACUAGACUUUCUUAAACACCAAUUCAAUGUUGUUACUUAUUUUGAGAAAUAUAAUUCAUAGGUAUAACAAAGGCUUAACAACUCCUUAUUUCUAUUUUGCUGAAACUAGAAGUAAUCAUUGUAUAUUCAAAACUAUUUAACAUCUAGCCUUCCCUUCCCAAACCCAUACAAAAUUAUUGUAGGUCUUUAUAAAUAACUGCCAUUCUGUGUAUGUAAACUGUUUUCUGAAUUUAGCGAAAGCUACAAAUCUAUUAUGGCAGCCUUCCUACAGGAAGAAUCAUGACAGGAAACAGAACUUUUUCAAGAAUUGGACUCAUACAUUGGAAGCCCCUUGUGCAAGUGCAGGUGACUAUAAAUCUCAUCACAUUCAAAACAUGGUAGAAAUCUCUCACAAAAAUCUCGAUUAUUUGAUUAAGGUUUCUGCUAAACUGUUCUAGACACACACACAAUAUACAUAUAUGCAGUUUUUUCCUCACACCUACAGAAAUGUAAAUUAUGGAUGAAGAAUUUCAAAACAGCAGGGACAAGCUCUGAGAGAAUAUGGCAUCAUACUACCUGAAUAGCACAGUUAAGACUGGUCCAUUCACAUCUCAGCCAGAUCUGUAGCCCGCCCUUCCAUACAUACUAUUGCUUAAAGUAUUAACUUUCCUUAAACCUGUUUAAAUACAUAUUAUCUGACAAACGUAUAGAUUUCAGAUACCAAAAGAAUAAUUUUUGAAUGAAACUCUUAUUAUUUCCCCUCUCUUUGUCAUCAGUUUUCAAGACGCUGUUAAUGUAAACCAGAAAGUACAGAAUUGUUCAGCACAGAUGGCACAGCAAUAAAAAUCUGGACAUUUUUCAAGUGAA